CGUGGGAUAGAAAGUGACGGACACCGUUUUAUCACGCUGUCAUGUAGACAAGAACGACCAUCAUAUCUGUACUGAGCCGGUAUCAUGGUCGCAUUUUUAUCACCUGUCAUGCCAUGCGUCACUUUCGCACUUACGUAUUUGUUAGAACGUGACAGGCAUGGUGACAAAUGAUAAAGAGCCGCCCAUGUUAGCCCUACUAGUGGCUAAGAUGGCUGGCUCUUUAUCAUUUGCCACCAUGCCUGUCACGUUCUAACAAGUAUGUAAGUGCGAAAGUGACGCAUGACAUGACAGGUGAUAAAAAGGCGACCAUGAUGU
Molecule: long non-coding RNA, 315 nt
Organism: Cydia fagiglandana
Lineage: Eukaryota; Metazoa; Arthropoda; Insecta; Lepidoptera; Tortricidae
Exons: 3
Source: RefSeq, a predicted model, not a curated record